This 638-nucleotide small RNA is filed under the name Trichilia claussenii. RNAcentral describes it as "eukaryotic LSU rRNA". The stretch from base 228 to 357 matches the Rfam family "5.8S ribosomal RNA", at positions 24 to 154 of the family's 154-position model. Lineage: Eukaryota; Viridiplantae; Streptophyta; Magnoliopsida; Sapindales; Meliaceae. The record is from RNAcentral.
CCCGACAGAACGACCCGCGAACCCGUGAUUACGCUCGAGGGGGUCCGGCGUGGGGAGCUAUGGCUGCCCGCGUUGGCCGCCUCCCGCUGCGAGGGGUGGGCGAGAUCUCGCCCGCUACUCGCGGCACAACAACGAACCCCCGGCGCGAGCUGCGCCAAGGAAAAUUUUAACGAGUGAGAGAGAGAGCGCUCCCGCCGCCCCCGNACACGGAUCGACGUGCGGGACGUGCUCCUUCUUCCACGAAAAUCCAAAAAUGCGAUACUUGGUGUGAAUUGCAGAAUCCCGUGAACCAUCGAGUCUUUGAACGCAAGUUGCGCCCCAAGCCUUUAGGCCGAGGGCACGUCUGCCUGGGUGUCACGCAUCGUUGCCCCCCCCAACCCCAACCCCAACCCACUCUUGGGGGAUGGUUGGACGGGCGGAAAUUGGCCUCCCGUGCGCUCCCGCUCGCGGUUGGCCCAAAUACGAGUCUUUCGGCGACCGUGUCGCGACGAUCGGUGGUGUAACAUGCCUCUCGAGCUCCCGUCGCGCACUCGCGUCUCCGUGCCACGGGCUCGCUGACCCUUGUAAGCGCUUUCUCUUCGAGACGGUGCUCGCUUUGCGACCCCAGGUCAGGCGGGACUACCCGCUGAGUUUAAGCA